This is a long non-coding RNA of Harpia harpyja (harpy eagle), 1327 nucleotides long. RefSeq lists it as uncharacterized. The transcript is spliced from 4 exons. The record is from RefSeq and is a predicted model, not a curated record. NCBI's taxonomy places the organism in Eukaryota, Metazoa, Chordata, Aves, Accipitriformes, Accipitridae.
UCUACAGUCUCACAACACAGAGAAAAUAAAUCCUGAUGAUGUUAAACUCUGAAAAAACUCUGACAAUUUCACUUUUGCUAUGGGAACAUGAUGGCCUAUUUUCUGUUUUCUCCAGAAGCUUGUUGGAAUUUACCUUGGAAAUCGUGUGAGAGCUUCAGAGAGCCAGGUUUUCUUGGCAACACCAGGCGGUAGUCAUUUCUGAACAAACAAGAUUGAAAUUUAUGUCUCAGUGAAGCAAUACUGGAAGCCUGUUUGACGUGCUGCACAAAGACCAUUUCCAGUGCUCUCCAGCCAGAUGAAUUUCCUCCAUGUGCUGCAGCAUUGUUGCAACACCCUUUUCUCCCCUUUGGCUUCAUGGGGACUGGGCUGCUGUGCCAGAGCUGACCGCUGUCACCGCUUUACCUUUCGAGACCUUGUGCCGCACCCCCACAUUAAAAGUGCUGAGACCUGACUGUCACUUGUUCAAUGCAUUUCCAGAUGAAGUACCUCUAUGUUCUCACUUCUGCUUCUUUCAUGUUUUGGAGAGGCUCCUUAGAAGCACCCCAAAAUAAAUCUAACUUUCUUCUUUCACUUGCACAAAAAGUCAACAGCAAUAGGUUUCUGGUUUCCUGAGAUUACUUCUGUUUAUAGUUAUCAAUACUUGUUCAGUGUUUGCUUGCUAUUUUCAGUCUUGUUUAGAUUGUAAAUAAUUUAGAUCAGAGACCUGUCUUUUUAUUACAAUUACUGAAAAACUAGGAUGAUUAAAUCUUGGCUUGUACUUAAGGAUCCUAGAGAAUCCGAAGCUAUUGAUAACAAAACAAUUCAGCAGAGUGAAAUUUAUCUUCCUGUAUAGGGUGUUUGCUACAGUCAGUGUGAAUCCCUAAAAAAAUUAGUAUUUUCCAAUGAAACAUAUACUGCUGACUUCAGGUUGUCUGCUAAUCUUUGUAAUUGGCAUGAAAUCUAGGGUGGCUGGGAGUCAAAACCCUGUCUUUUUGGCUUUGUGUGUGUUCUGCUGAUUACCUGCCUAAUGAAGUAAGUAGGCAGGGCAAUCUCGUUGUGUCAUCCUGCAACCAUGUCAAGUUAUUCACUAAACCUCUCUUUGGGAAAGUGGGUUGGAAACACUUAGGUGAAGAUUUUCUUUUCAGUACAAAUUUGCUGCUUUGUGGAAACCUAAGGAUGUUAUAGGAGAUCGGUAUCAAUGAAUUUACUAGCUUUAAAAUAAUGUGGAGAAAAAUAAGCAAAAAAUCUGUGAUUGUUCUAGCUGUUUCUAGAAUGAAAGACUCCAGGCUUUCCUCUUGAAAGUGGCACUAGUUGCACUAGGGCAAUUAAAGAGAAUAUGCUGUUUACA